ACAUCAGAGCCUUCUACAAGUACUCAAAAGGCGGCCAACACGUCUGAGUCAUAAAAAGGCGUAUGCAGGUUCAUCAACUGGUCUGCUCAAAAGCUUUGGAAAGAUGAAGACUGAAGAUUGCUACUUGGCUCUGGCUAUCUGAUGAGCACUGAGAAUAACCAAAAUCAGCUCACCAGUCCAAGUCCGAUGGAUCCAGUUGUCCACAGUGAAAAGGAUAGGAUGCUGGUGAAGAACCUGGGUCCAGAAGAGGGCCAAAGAAAGUGUGGUCUAAGGCUGAUUUCAGAGAUCACAUAUGUAAAGGAAAACUGGCCACCAAAACUGAAUGCAGUCACGGCACGCUGGUGGAAGGUCCUGUGUUACCACAAAGAACGGUGCAGAAUAUAAGGGACUUUGUGAGAAACUGAGGAAUAGCUGCAAAGAGGCAGUCACAGAAACAAAAGCUGUAAACCCACUGGCUACUAUUGUAGUUAUUUUUCUGUGUGUGUUGUGGUUAUACCGAUGACUUCAUGUGUUUUAUGAAGCAAUCCGUUUCAACACGUUCUUUAUGUUAUAGCAGAAAACUAAUGUCGGUUGAAAAGAGUUGUGAACCAACAGGCAAACAUUAGUGUUAUUUUAUUUUUUAUAUUGUUGUCUUUAUGGUCAGGAGAAAGUGCACUUGUUUUUACACGCUUGUUUUAUUCAAAUAUUGUUAAUAUGAGAAUGAGUUGUGCCUCAAAAACAUUAAAUACAACAUACAUACACGCCCUCUGGUGGACGACUAGGGAAAUUGCAGCUGACUUGGAAAAGAAAGCCACUGGUCAACACAAUUUCAGCACCAUGGCCAUGGACAGCUCUCCAUACAAAACACUAACAGGUGUUGUUUAACCCUCCUAUUGUGUUCGGGUCAAAUCUGACCGAUUUACUACUUUCAUCAAUCAUUAAUAUUUUGUUUUACAUCUGAUUGCUUCAAGGCCUUAUGAUAUCCUCCAUAGUAGGCAUUUCAACAUAUAACAUUUCUGAUCACCACUUUCAGUCAACUUUGUUACAUCCAUGGUGUUCCCGGUCAAAAUUGAUUAUUAAUGGGUAACUCUAGAUUAAUUUCAUCCAACAGAUAGCACACACACACACACUCUGAACAAUCAGGUAUAAUUUAUGGGAACCCAUUUUUCUCAUGUGCUUAUUCCCCCAUUUUUUUCAAAUCUUCUCACACACCCCGUAUAUACAGCCUUUAUUUGUGCCUUGCUCUCAUUUUACUCUGUGAGCACAAUGAGUGGGCAACCGAUUAGGCAAUUAUCUGUCAGAGAGGUUCUUGACCAAAUCUUUGAACCAGAUGAAGUUGAAGUUGACCCAGAAAUAAAGGAGGAUGUCUCAGAAAUGGAAGACAACAUCGAUCCUGAUUGCAAUCAAGACUUUUGUGAGACUGACCGGUCAACAGAUACUGAGGAAGAGGCACCUGUGGAAGCACCUUCCCUGCACACCAGCCUCUACCACUCUGGUUAGGAGUCUGCAAGCCCUAGCCGCUGCCCUGGCCGCUCUCCCCCAACAACGACAGGGGCAGAAAAGGAAGAGACGCAAGCUCUGUGCCCCUAGAGACAAUAAAACAAGCCUUAAAUGCUACAAAUGUGAUGCUUAUGUUUGCAAGGCACACUCCGACAUGAUGGUAAAAUGCCAGUCCUGUGUGUAAACACACACUUGACUAUUAUUUUUGAUGUUCUGAUGUUCUAUCAAUUUUGGUCUCUGUUUUGUUUAGUUUUUUUACAAUAAAUGUUAAUUACAUUACAAUUGUUUUAUUUUCAGUGUAUAUUCUUUAUAUAUUUAGUGCAGUUGUUCACGUAAACCAGUAGUCUGAGACAUUGUUUACAGCUUACAGCUGUGUUAGAUCAAAUUUGGUGAUGAUUAAUGGUUUUUGUGUUGAUGUAAGAGCUGUUAAAACAGACAGGUCAAAUUUGACCGGGAACACCAAAGUAAGGGGGGAGAAACGAACACAAGAGGAGGGUUAAACUGGUUUAAGGAUGUGAGUGACAUGUGUCGCCCUGUGCUGAGUAUCAUGUUGCUGUCACAGAAGAGACUGAACACAUUUGAUGUUUUUUGUGACCAUGAUUUCACUACAAUUUCACCAAA
Long non-coding RNA from Cottoperca gobio, 2100 nucleotides. RefSeq lists it as uncharacterized. The transcript is spliced from 4 exons. Lineage: Eukaryota; Metazoa; Chordata; Actinopteri; Perciformes; Bovichtidae. The record is from RefSeq and is a predicted model, not a curated record.